This 496-nucleotide ribosomal RNA is filed under the name uncultured bacterium. RNAcentral's name for it is "partial 16S ribosomal RNA". It matches the Rfam family "Bacterial small subunit ribosomal RNA", at positions 28 to 506 of the family's 1533-position model. The record is from RNAcentral.
GAUGAACGCUGGCGGCGUGCCUAAUACAUGCAAGUCGAGCGAACGGACGAGAAGCUUGCUUCUCUGAUGUUAGCGGCGGACGGGUGAGUAACACGUGGAUAACCUACCUAUAAGACUGGGAUCACUUCGGGACACCGGAGCUAAUACCGGAUAAUAUUUUGAACCGCAUGGUUCAAAAGUGAAAGACGGUCUUGCUGUCACUUAUAGAUGGAUCCGCGCUGCAUUAGCUAGUUGGUAAGGUAACGGCUUACCAAGGCAACGCUGCAUAGCCGACCUGAGGGGGGGUUCGGCGACUGUGAAACUGAGACGCGACCCAGACUCUUAGGGAAGGCAGAGGUAGGGAAGCUUCGGAAAAGGGCGAAAGCCUGACGGAGCAACGCCGCGGGAGUGAUGAAGGGCUGCGGAUCGUAAAACGGUGUUAUUAGUGAAGAACAUAUGUGUAAGUAACGGUGCACAUCUUGACGGUACCUAAUCAGAAAGCCACGCCUAACUACGU